Molecule: long non-coding RNA, 5047 nt
Filed under: Sus scrofa (pig)
Lineage: Eukaryota; Metazoa; Chordata; Mammalia; Artiodactyla; Suidae
Description: lncRNA (ENSSSCG00040075599.1)
Source: RNAcentral
CCCUGCGCCUGGGGUCGGCGGACAAACAGCGGGCCGUCUAGCCACGCCCCCACUGAGAGCUGCGGAAAACUACACUUCCCAGGGUUCCCCGCGGCGACGUGGCGCUGCCGGGGGCAGAGGGCCCGGGCUGGGGGCGGGGCCGCCGGGGUCGCAGUCGGAAGACUCGGGAGGGUGUCCGCCUGACGCCGCGGGAGCGAAGGCCGGGCGGGAGGCCUUGGCCUUCCGGAGGGAGGUAGAGGGGAAGGGGACAACACAAGGGAAGACCGAGGAGCCGCAAGUUCCCUCUACGGCUUAGCUCAGCCGCUUACCCAGGCCACGCGGAGGCGCAGAGGUGGUUCGCCAAGGAAAAGCGUGGAUAUUUCGCCAGACGGCAAAAUUCUGGGAUGUCAGAGUUACAGGGCUUGGAGGUGGGGGAGAGCAAAGGUUGGCAGCAGGUCCCGAGCCUAGAGGGCAGCAGAGGCCCCGGGACCGAGGGAGGGACUGCUGUGUCGCUGGGUCUUGGUCCGGGAGAGGUCGGCCCUGAGAAGCAGGUGGUGGGCGUGAGCAAGGCUGGGGGCCAGAGAGGAACAGCAGGGACGGUUUGCAGAUUCCCAGCACCCAGUUCACUAGAAGAGUCAGCAAAUUCUCCUGCCGCCAUCUCCCUCAUCCGCAACUCUGGCAGGGUUGGGCUCCAUUGCUGGGAAUCUGGGUGGCCUCUCCCAAAAGACCGGAGUAGCAGUGGGCUACCCAGCCCUAUGCCCUGCAGCUCUGCUACCCUGAUCCUGUUAGCUGUGCACGGUGCCCCAACAUUUACAGUCCUGGUAAUAUCGCUCACACUUAUCAAACACCCACCGUGACUAUUCUUAUAUCUUGUUCUAAGUAACUCUCACAAUAGCUUUAUGAUGAAGUCUUAUCACUUCCAUUUUUUCGCGAGGAAAAUUGAGGGACAGAACGGGGUAUGUUUAAGGUCAUGUAGCUUUUCAUUCGUCCUAUGAAUGAGUCUGGCUCCCACAGGACAUAUUACAGGUACACACACGUAACAUAGCAGGUGUUCCAUACAUGAACACGGUGACUUCGCCAGGAAUGAGUGCUGAGUUUAGCCUGAAGCCAGGCAGGGCCUCAAAAUAUUGUAAUACCCAGGGGCUCAAAUCUGGGGCUUUCACUUACUGGUUAUUCACCACCUGUCCAUAAGUGCCAGGAACUUUUCUGGGGCUGAAAAGGUGGUACAGGGUCUGUGUCCCAGGAAGUUUGAGAUUUAAUGGGUCUUAGGGCUUUGGAGUAGUGCCUCUCUGUCUAAGAUCCAGCAUCAGCCCCUCCAAGUCCUUAGAGAUGUGUUCCUCUUCCUACUGGGGACUUAGGGUUCCAGUGAGAGGAGGGUAGGGUAGGGUAAAGCCCCCUGAGGGUCACUGCAAGUAGCUAUAGGCCCAGGAGCCGAUGGUCUUGAGGCUGUGGGCUUGGGGGAAGGAAUACUGCUUCCAUUCUUCUUUGGUUUCUUCAGCGUCUUGGGAAUGUGAGGAGAGAGGAAAGAAAGGUGAGUUCAGCCAGCAGCCAAGCUGGCACCUCCCAUCUGUCUCUCUCUCCCCAGGCAUGAUAGAGUCUUGUCUGGGCUUGGCCAAGCGGGGGCUGGAGACCUGUGGGAGAGAAGAGGAUGGGAAGGAGGGGGAAAGUCCAUGGAACUUGAUUUUCCUAGAUAAUUGGUAGGGCUAUGGGUGGGCUCGGCUGGGAUAGAGGUCUGCUUUUUUUUUUUGCUUUUUAGGGCUGCACUCACGGCACUUGAAAGUUCCUAGGCUAGGGGUCAAAUCAGAGCUCCAGCUGCCAGUCCCAGCCCCAGCCUCAGCAAUAAGGGAUUGAAGCCUCGUUUGUGACCUACACCAUAGCUCAUGGCAAUGCCGGAUCCCUGACCUACUGAGCAAAGCCAGGGAUUGAACCCCAUGUCCUCAUGGAUGCUGGUCGGAUUUGUUUUCCGCCUCGCCAUGAUGGGAACUCCAGAGGUCUUUCUUUAUUUUCAAAAUCCACUUACCCUAUUAGAGAAGGGGUCCCUGGGGAUGUGGGGAGCCAACAAGAGUGCUGGUCCCAGAUGCUCUUGCUCAGUUCUCAGUUCCGCCCCAUCUCCCUUCCUUCCCUUCAUCAUCGUGAUUUACCGACAGUGUCAAAUCUCAUCUUUUUCCCUGGGAUUCCCUACAAUCUAUUCGUCACACAUCGGAACAUUGCCCUGCUUAAACCCUGCAAGGGCUUCCUAUCACCCUUGGGAAAAAACUCAAACUGUCCCCUUUGUCUAAAAUGCCCUUCUCGGAGUUCCUGUCAUGGUGCAGCGGAAACGAAUCCCACUAGGAACCAUGAGGUUGCAGGUUUGAUCCCUGGCCUUGCUCAGUGGGUUAAGCAUCUGGUGUUGCUGUGAGCGGUGGUGUAGGUCACAGAUGCGGCUCGGAUCCUGUGUGGCUGUGGCUGUGGCGUAGGCCGGUGGCUACGGUUCCGAUUUGACCCCUAGCCUGGGAACCUCCAUAUGCUUAGGGUUCAGCCCUAAAAAGAAAAAAAUAAAAAAAAAAUAAAAUGUCCUUCUCUCAGCUCUUGGCAUGGUGGGCUCCUUGCCUGUCUGGGUUCUGUACGCAUGUCGCUCCAUCUUUGUGGAUUCUUUGCCCAAGCACUUGCCCUAGAGAUUGAGAGAGAGCCACUGUCGAGGCCAUCCUCUCUCAUCAUGCUUUAUUUUCUCAUAGUACUUAGCAGUGUCUGAAAUUACCGUAUCGAUUUGUUAACCCGUAUUCUUGGGCGGCAGCAGUGCAGUGCAGUAGUUGAAAGCAUGGGAAGUGGUUUGAACAAACACUUCCUGGAUGCGUAACCUUGGGUUAAUUGGUUAACCUCUCUGAGCCUUGGUUUCCUCAUUUGUCAAGUGGGCGAAGCAGCAGUCCCGGCGUCCUGUCCUGACGGUCAGGGAGAUGAUGGCUGUCACACCCUCCGGGCUCACGAAAAGUUGGCUGCUGUUAUUAUGAUGCUGGUUCUGAUCUACGGUUUACGGCGAACUCGUUCUGUGGCCUAAAACAGUGCUGAAGGAACCGGAAAGUAAACCUUCACCUAGGGUGUGGGACGCACUCUCCACGCAGCUGUGCGGUGCAGGGAACACCAUUUUGGAAGUGACAAGAAAUGCCGUGUCCCUGAGUAGCCCGAACAGUUUUUGAGAGAGAGUCAGGAGACCUUGGUCCUGGCGUCAACAUUGCUACCGCUUUGGUGCAGGUCACAGGUUGCUGGUGAGGCCCUCACCUUCCUUGAGCCUCGGGUUCUUCAAAGAAAAUGAUGGGUUGGGGAGUUCUCUUGUGGUGCAGUGGCUUAAGGAUCAGGCAUUGUCACUGCAGUGGCUCUGGUUGCUCAGGCCUGGCCUGGGAACUUCUGCAUGCUGCAGGUGUGGCUUAAAAAAAAAAAAGGGGGGGAGUUCUUGUCUAGGUUCAGCAGAAAUGAAUCUGACUAGGAACCAUGAGGUUGCGGGUUUGAUCCCUGGCCUUGCUCAGUGGGUUAAGGAUCCGGCAUUGCCGUGAGCUCUGGUGUAGGUCACAGACACGGCUCGGAUCGCGUGUUGCUGUGGCUCUGGCAUAGGCCAGCAGCUGUAGUUCCUAUUCGACCCCUAGCCUGGGAACUUCCAUAUGCCAAGGGUGCAGCCCUAAAAAGCAAAAAAAAAAAAGGGGGGGUUGCUCCCUGCCAGCUUCCAGGGGUUCUAGUUGGGCCCUGUGCUCCUUUAUCCACUGCAUACUUUUCAGUGUUGGGGACACACAGUGCCCCCAACUCCCUCAGCUCUGCUUCCUAACUCUUCAAAGCUGCCACAGAGAGAGCUGACCUGGGGAAAAUAUUGUUGGUCUUAAGCCUUUGAUCCCAGAGACAAAGUCCCAGCCCUGGACACCGGAUCUUCUUUCUGCCCAGGUCCGGCCCUCCCCUUCAGCCUCACCCACUUUCAUAUUUGAGCCCAUGGGGAGGAGAGCCAGCCCCGCCUGAGCCACCCUUCCCCCACCGCAGGCAUGAAGGCCUUGGCCUCAGACAUGCAGGCAGAGCAUGCAGACAGCUGGAAGCACGCAGACGCAUGUGCCUGGGUGUACUUGUGGGUCUCUGCAGUUAUAUUUUAACUUGUUCCUGUUUUUUUCUCAGUUGUGUCAGGACUGAGAUUAGAGGAAAAGAUUGUAGGAUGGCAGGGCUGGCAUUCUCUACCCUCUGCCUGAGGGAAGAAGCCACCUGUCAAAUGAGAUGUUAGUCUCUAGGGGUGUUGUGGGGGUCGCUUCCUUUGUCUGCCCCCACUCCCUGCAAGAUGUGCCGGUGGUCCAACAGGAUUUGAGGGAGGAGGGGCAUGAGACAGAAGCCCCGGUGGGACUCAGAGGGCGGGAGCUUUUCCAAGGAGCCAGGAGGGCUGCAGGCCUGGGAGCAGGUGUGUCUGGUGGUGGCCUCAUGCUGAGUUCUUUGCCCCCUUGGUCCCUGCUGCCAGAUUGUCAGCUGUCCACUCUUUACUGGAGCUGCCUCUCCACUCACGGGUCAGUCUGGGGGACUGGGUUAGAUGGCCAGUGAGAUCCCCAAGGGGAAGAUGGACUAAGGAAGGGGUUCUCCCUUUCCCUUCUCUGUCCUCUUUGUUUCAGAGGCUGAGCCCACCUGCCUGACACCUGGCACCCAGCUCGUCUGGGAUGCUGUCUGUCUCCCUGCUAAAGCUGAGGCCUGGUCUUCUGCCUGUCUCCCUUUUCUUCAGUGCCUCCUGGAGGGGGCGGCCCAGAGGAGCAGGUUUUGGAAGGCAGGGCUUGAUGUGUGUUGAAGGAGGAGUCUGUGCUUUGUGCAGUGAGGUGUGGCAUCGGCUGGCUUGCUUAAGCUGGGGCAGAUCAGAAGGCUGGUUCGAGGGGUGCAGGGAAGUCUGACGGCGCUACUCUGGUAUUAUCGCCCUUCCUUUAAACUUAAGACCUAGGUGGAGUUCCCUGGUGGCUCAGCCAGUUAAGGAUUGGCAUUGUCUCUGCUGUGACUGGUGACUACUGUGGCACAGGUUCAAUCUUUUGAUUCCUGGCCUAGGAAUUUCCCAGUCCACUGGCAUGGACCAACAAACAAAAAAACC